Molecule: ribosomal RNA, 1347 nt
Filed under: Staphylococcus aureus
Lineage: Bacteria; Bacillati; Bacillota; Bacilli; Caryophanales; Staphylococcaceae
Description: partial 23S ribosomal RNA
Rfam family: Bacterial large subunit ribosomal RNA
Source: RNAcentral
CUGAGCUGUGAUGGGGAGAAGACAUUGUGUCUUCGAGUCGUUGAUUUCACACUGCCGAGAAAAGCCUCUAGAUAGAAAAUAGGUGCCCGUACCGCAAACCGACACAGGUAGUCAAGAUGAGAAUUCUAAGGUGAGCGAGCGAACUCUCGUUAAGGAACUCGGCAAAAUGACCCCGUAACUUCGGGAGAAGGGGUGCUCUUUAGGGUUAACGCCCAGAAGAGCCGCAGUGAAUAGGCCCAAGCGACUGUUUAUCAAAAACACAGGUCUCUGCUAAACCGUAAGGUGAUGUAUAGGGGCUGACGCCUGCCCGGUGCUGGAAGGUUAAGAGGAGUGGUUAGCUUCUGCGAAGCUACGAAUCGAAGCCCCAGUAAACGGCGGCCGUAACUAUAACGGUCCUAAGGUAGCGAAAUUCCUUGUCGGGUAAGUUCCGACCCGCACGAAAGGCGUAACGAUUUGGGCACUGUCUCAACGAGAGACUCGGUGAAAUCAUAGUACCUGUGAAGAUGCAGGUUACCCGCGACAGGACGGAAAGACCCCGUGGAGCUUUACUGUAGCCUGAUAUUGAAAUUCGGCACAGCUUGUACAGGAUAGGUAGGAGCCUUUGAAACGUGAGCGCUAGCUUACGUGGAGGCGCUGGUGGGAUACUACCCUAGCUGUGUUGGCUUUCUAACCCGCACCACUUAUCGUGGUGGGAGACAGUGUCAGGCGGGCAGUUUGACUGGGGCGGUCGCCUCCUAAAAGGUAACGGAGGCGCUCAAAGGUUCCCUCAGAAUGGUUGGAAAUCAUUCAUAGAGUGUAAAGGCAUAAGGGAGCUUGACUGCGAGACCUACAAGUCGAGCAGGGUCGAAAGACGGACUUAGUGAUCCGGUGGUUCCGCAUGGAAGGGCCAUCGCUCAACGGAUAAAAGCUACCCCGGGGAUAACAGGCUUAUCUCCCCCAAGAGUUCACAUCGACGGGGAGGUUUGGCACCUCGAUGUCGGCUCAUCGCAUCCUGGGGCUGUAGUCGGUCCCAAGGGUUGGGCUGUUCGCCCAUUAAAGCGGUACGCGAGCUGGGUUCAGAACGUCGUGAGACAGUUCGGUCCCUAUCCGUCGUGGGCGUAGGAAAUUUGAGAGGAGCUGUCCUUAGUACGAGAGGACCGGGAUGGACAUACCUCUGGUGUACCAGUUGUCGUGCCAACGGCAUAGCUGGGUAGCUAUGUGUGGACGGGAUAAGUGCUGAAAGCAUCUAAGCAUGAAGCCCCCCUCAAGAUGAGAUUUCCCAACUUCGGUUAUAAGAUCCCUCAAAGAUGAUGAGGUUAAUAGGUUCGAGGUGGAAGCAUGGUGACAUGUGGAGCUGACGAAUACUAA